Molecule: ribosomal RNA, 497 nt
Filed under: uncultured bacterium
Lineage: Bacteria
Description: partial 16S ribosomal RNA
Rfam family: Bacterial small subunit ribosomal RNA
Source: RNAcentral
GAUGAACGCUGGCGGCGUGCCUAAUACAUGCAAGUCGAGCGAACGGACGAGAAGCUUGCUUCUCUGAUGUUAGCGGCGGACGGGUGAGUAACACGUGGAUAACCUACCUAUAAGACUGGGAUAACUUCGGGAAACCGGAGCUAAUACCGGAUAAUAUUUUGAACCGCAUGGUUCAAAAGUAAAAGACGGUCUUGCUGUCACUUAUAGAUGGAUCCGCGCUGCAUUAGCUAGUUGGUAAGGUAACGGCUUACCAAGGCAACGAUGCAUAGCCGACCUGAGAGGGUGAUCGGCGACACUGGAACUGAGACACGGUCCAGACUCCUACGGGAGGCAGCAGUAGGGAAUCUGCCGCAAUGGGCGAAAGCCUUACGGAGCAACGCCGCGUGAGUGAUGAAGGUCUUCGGAUCGUAAAACUCUGUUAUUAGGGAAGAACAUAUGUGUAAGUAACUGUGCACAUCUUGACGGUACCUAAUCAGAAAGCCACGGCUAACUACGUG